UACGAAGGGUGCAAGCGUUACUCGGAAUUACUGGGCGUAAAGCGUGCGUAGGUGGUGGUUUAAGUCCGUUGUGAAAAGCCCCUGGGCGUCAACCCUAGGGAAGUUAGUCAGUGGGAGUACUGGAUCACUAGAGUGUGGUAGAGGGAGUGCGGAAUUUCUGGUGUAGCAGUGAAAUGCGUAGAGAUCAGAAGGAACAUCCGUGGCGAAGGCGGCAUCCUGGGCCAACACUGACACUGAGGCACGAAAGCGUGGGGAGC
Molecule: ribosomal RNA, 257 nt
Filed under: uncultured bacterium
Lineage: Bacteria
Description: partial 16S ribosomal RNA
Rfam family: Bacterial small subunit ribosomal RNA
Source: RNAcentral